AGGUGGGGGACAACCAUUGGAAACGAUGGCUCAUGACCGCAUAAUGUCUACCGACCAAAGGGGGCUUCGGCUCUCGCCUUUAGAUUGGCCCAAGUGGGAUUAGCUAGUUGGUGAGGUAACGGCUCACCAAGGCGACGAUCCCUAGCUGGUUGAGAGGAUGAUCAGCCACACUGGAACUGAGACACGGUCCAGAUUCCUACGGGAGGCAGCAGUGGGGAAUAUUGCACAAUGGGCGCAAGCCUGAUGCAGCCAUGCCGCGUGUGUGAAGAAGGCCUUCGGGUUGUAAAGCACUUUCAGUCAGGAGGAAAGGUUAGUAGUUAAUACCUGCUAGCUGUGACGUUACUGACAGAAGAAGCACCGGCUAACUCCGUGCCAGCAGCCGCGGUAAUACGGAGGGUGCGAGCGUUAAUCGGAAUUACUGGGCGUAAAGCGUACGCAGGCGGUUGAUUAAGCGAGAUGUGAAAGCCCCGGGCUUAACCUGGGAACUGCAUUUCGAACUGGUCAACUAGAGUGUGAUAGAGGGUGGUAGAAUUUCAGGUGUAGCGGUGAAAUGCGUAGAGAUCUGAAGGAAUACCGAUGGCGAAGGCAGCCACCUGGGUCAACACUGACGCUCAUGUACGAAAGCGUGGGGGAGCAAAACAGGAUUAGAUACCCUGGUAGUCCACGCCGUAAAACGAUGUCUACUAGGAGCUGGGGUCUUCGGACAACUUUUUCCAAAAGCUAAACGCAUUAAAGUAGACCGCCGGGAAGUACGGCCGCAAGGGUAAAACUAAAUGAAUUGACGGGGGGCCCCGCAAGCGGGUGGGAGCCAUGUGGUUUUAAUUUCGAAUGCCAACCGCGAAAGAACCCUUUACCCUACCACUUUGAACAUUACCAGAAGAAACUUUACCCAGAAGAAUGGGUUUUGGUGCCCUUUCCGGGAAACUCUGAAUACAGGGUGCCUGCAUGGGCUUGUCCGUCAGCUUCCUGUGUUGUGAAGAUGUUUGGGGUUUAAAGUCCCGCCAAACGAGCGCCAAACCCCUUUAUUCCCUUUAGUUGCCAGCGAUUCGGUCGGGAACUCUAAGGAGACUGCCGGUGAUAAACCGGAGGAAGGUGGGGACGACGUCAAGUCAUCAUGGCCCUUACGUGUAGGGCUACACACGUGCUACAAUGGCAUAUACAGAGUGCUGCGAACUAGCGAUAGUAAGCGAAUCACUUAAAGUAUGUCGUAGUCCGGAUUGGAGUCUGCAACUCGACUCCAUGAAGUCGGAAUCGCUAGUAAUCGCGGAUCAGAAUGCCGCGGUGAAUACGUUCCCGGGCCUUGUACACACCGCCCGUCACACCAUGGGAGUGGGUGCUCC
This 1340-nucleotide ribosomal RNA is filed under the name Pseudoalteromonas sp. RNAcentral's name for it is "bacterial SSU rRNA". It matches the Rfam family "Bacterial small subunit ribosomal RNA", at positions 134 to 1420 of the family's 1533-position model. Lineage: Bacteria; Pseudomonadati; Pseudomonadota; Gammaproteobacteria; Alteromonadales; Pseudoalteromonadaceae. The record is from RNAcentral.